AUUGAACGCUGGCGGCAUGCCUUACACAUGCAAGUCGAACGGCAGCACGGGGGCAACCCUGGUGGCGAGUGGCGAACGGGUGAGUAAUAUAUCGGAACGUACCCUGGAGUGGGGGAUAACGCAGCGAAAGUUGCGCUAAUACCGCAUACGAUCUAAGGAUGAAAGUGGGGGCUUCGCAAGAACCUCAUGCUCCUGGAGCGGCCGAUAUCUGAUUAGCUAGUUGGAGGGUAAAGACCUACCAAGGCAUCGAUCAGUAGCUGGUCUGAGAGGACGACCAGCCACACUGGGACUGAGACACGGCCCAGACUCCUACGGGAGGCAGCAGGUGGGGAAUUUUGGACAAUGGGGGCAACCCUGAUCCAGCAAUGCCGCGUGAGUGAAGAAGG
This 386-nucleotide ribosomal RNA is filed under the name uncultured bacterium. RNAcentral's name for it is "bacterial SSU rRNA". It matches the Rfam family "Bacterial small subunit ribosomal RNA", at positions 30 to 414 of the family's 1533-position model. The record is from RNAcentral.